Molecule: ribosomal RNA, 491 nt
Filed under: uncultured bacterium
Lineage: Bacteria
Description: bacterial SSU rRNA
Rfam family: Bacterial small subunit ribosomal RNA
Source: RNAcentral
GACGAACGCUGGCGGCGUGCCUAACACAUGCAAGUCGAACGGAAAUAUUUGAGAGCUUGCUCUUAAAUAUUUUAGUGGCGGACGGGUGAGUAACACGUGGGUAACCAACCUUGUACAGGGGAAUAAUCAUUAGAAAUGAUGACUAAUACCGCAUGAGAUCCUAAAUUCGCAUGAAUGAAGGAUGAAAAGAGAAAUCUGGUACAAGACGGGCCCGCGGCGCAUUAGCUAGUUGGUAAGGUAAUGGCUUACCAAGGCGACGAUGCGUAGCCGAUCUGAGAGGAUGAACGGCCACACUGGAACUGAGAACGGUCCAGACUCCUACGGGAGGCAGCAGUGGGGAAUAUUGCGCAAUGGGCGAAAGCCUGACGCAGCAACGCCGCGUGGAGGAAGAAGGUAUUCGUAUUGUAAACUCCUGUCUAGUGGGAAGAAAAAAAUGACGGUACCACUGGAGGAAGCCACGGCUAACUACGUGCCAGCAGCCGCGGUAAUAC